This 433-nucleotide ribosomal RNA is filed under the name uncultured bacterium. Its description in RNAcentral is "partial 16S ribosomal RNA". It matches the Rfam family "Bacterial small subunit ribosomal RNA", at positions 29 to 507 of the family's 1533-position model. The record is from RNAcentral.
AACGAACGCUGGCGGCAUGCCUAACACAUGCAAGUCGAACGAGACCUUCGGGUCUAGUGGCGCACGGGUGCGUAACGCGUGGGAAUCUGCCCUUGGGUUCGGAAUAACAGUUGGAAACGACUGCUAAUACCGGAUGAUGACGUAAGUCCAAAGAUUUAUCGCCCAAGGAUGAGCCCGCGUAGGAUUAGCUAGUUGGUGAGGUAAAGGCUCACCAAGGCGACGCUCCUUAGCUGGUCUGAGAGGAUGAUCAGCCACACUGGGACUGAGACACGGCCCAGACUCCUACGGGAGGCAGUAGUGGGGAAUAUUGGACAAUGGGCGAAAGCCUGAUCCAGCAAGGCCGCGUGAGUAAUGAAGGCCUUAGGGUUGUGAAGCUCGUUUACCCGGGAUGAUAAUGACAGGACCGGGAGAAUAAGCUCCGGCUAACUCCGUG